GAGUGAAGAGCAUAUCACACAUAUAGCCAAAGAUGACUGCCUGAAACCCAUGCAAAAAGGCUUCUCUCUCUUUAUCUUAAUUAUUUUUGAAAUCACGUAUCAUAGCUAAUUAAAUAAGCCGUCCAAAAUGGUCCAGGCAAGUCAUCCUUGGCUAUGGAAUAAGACUCUUCUUC
Nicotiana attenuata is the source of this 173-nucleotide microRNA precursor. NCBI's taxonomy places the organism in Eukaryota, Viridiplantae, Streptophyta, Magnoliopsida, Solanales, Solanaceae. The record is from Rfam.